RNAcentral lists this long non-coding RNA (455 nucleotides) under Olea europaea (common olive). RNAcentral's name for it is "long non-coding RNA (OEUR_LNC006122)". Lineage: Eukaryota; Viridiplantae; Streptophyta; Magnoliopsida; Lamiales; Oleaceae. The record is from RNAcentral.
UCACAAAUCAAUUACAUUGUUCGUCCUAAAAUUAAAUUUGACUAUGCAUAUUAAUGAGAGAAAAACAAAAAUUUAUGGAAGACAUCACAAAAUUAAUUGACGGAAUAUGAAUAAUUUGCAAAAAGUAAAUCUGCCUUUUUUUGCGAGUUGCCGUCUCUUUGUGUUUUUAUCUCUUUCGGUUUUCAGUGCGCGUAACCAAAUAAUAAAUUUCAACAACCUGGUCUCAAUAUUUGCAGCCCAAUUUCUGCCUUCUACUGCGUGGAAUGUAGAUAUAUUAAUGGCAGCAAAAAUUAUUCCUCUGACCAAAAUUUGUAAAAUUAUAAUAUUGCGGCUGCCUCUCCAAUUCCCAACGUGGGUGUGAAUACGAUCUCAGCCUCAAAAGUGUGAGUCAAAUAUAAAAUAUUGGCUGCCUCUUAAAUCCCUUCUCUCUCAAUUUUUUCUCUGCGUUUUCUGUG